GCGGGAGUGGUGGAAUCGGCAGACACCCAGGACUUAAAAUCCUGUGUCAUACCAAUGGCGUGCGGGUUCAAGUCCCGCCUCCCGCACCA
This 89-nucleotide transfer RNA is filed under the name Nitrospira sp. Its description in RNAcentral is "tRNA-Leu". It matches the Rfam family "tRNA". From Rfam's summary of the family: Transfer RNA (tRNA) molecules are approximately 80 nucleotides in length. Their secondary structure includes four short double-helical elements and three loops (D, anti-codon, and T loops). Lineage: Bacteria; Pseudomonadati; Nitrospirota; Nitrospiria; Nitrospirales; Nitrospiraceae. RNAcentral also lists the same sequence under 5 other names. The record is from RNAcentral.